GACGAACGCUGGCGGCGUGCUUAACACAUGCAAGUCGAACGAAGUGGCGAACGGGUGAGUAACGCGUAAUCAACCUGCCCUUCAGGGGGGGAUAACAGUUGGAAACGACUGCUACUACCGCAUACUGAAGGAGGGGAUUGCGUCGGAUUAGCUAGUUGGAGGGGUAACGGCCCACCAAGGCGAAGAUCAGUAGGCGGGCUGGGGGGGUGGACGGGCCCAAGGGGACCGGGGAACCGGCCAGGAUCCUACGGGGGGGCAGCGUGGGGGAUCAUCCGCAAUGGGGGGAAGGCUGGCGGCGGAACGGCGCGGUGGGGGUGGCAGCCUUCGGGGUGUAAAGCCCUGUUAAGCGGGGAGCGGUACCGGAAUAGGAAGCCACGGCUAACUACGUGCCAGCAGCCGCGGUAAUUC
This 408-nucleotide ribosomal RNA is filed under the name uncultured bacterium. RNAcentral's name for it is "partial 16S ribosomal RNA". It matches the Rfam family "Bacterial small subunit ribosomal RNA", at positions 28 to 526 of the family's 1533-position model. The record is from RNAcentral.